This 481-nucleotide ribosomal RNA is filed under the name uncultured bacterium. Its description in RNAcentral is "partial 16S ribosomal RNA". It matches the Rfam family "Bacterial small subunit ribosomal RNA", at positions 28 to 507 of the family's 1533-position model. The record is from RNAcentral.
GAUGAACGCUGGCGGCGUGCCUAACACAUGCAAGUCGAGCGAAGCACUUACUUUAGAUUUCUUCGGAAUGACGAAGUUUGUGACUGAGCGGCGGACGGGUGAGUAACGCGUGGGCAACCUGCCCUGUACAGGGGGAUAACAGUUAGAAAUGACUGCUAAUACCGCAUAAGCCCACAGCUUCGCAUGAAGCAGUGGGAAAAACUCCGGUGGUACAGGAUGGGCCCGCGUCUGAUUAGCUAGUUGGUAAGGUAACGGCUUACCAAGGCGACGAUCAGUAGCCGACCUGAGAGGGUGACCGGCCACAUUGGGACUGUGACACGGCCCAAACUCCUACGGGAGGCAGCAGUGGGGAAUAUUGCACAAUGGGGGAAACCCUGAUGCAGCGACGCCGCGUGAGCGAUGAAGUAUUUCGGUAUGUAAAGCUCUAUCAGCAGGGAAGAAAGUGACGGUACCUGACUAAGAAGCCCCGGCUAACUACGUG